AGUGAACGCUGGCGGUAGGCCUAACACAUGCAAGUCGAACGGCAGCACAGUAAGAGCUUGCUCUUACGGGUGGCGAGUGGCGGACGGGUGAGGAAUACAUCGGAAUCUACUUUUUCGUGGGGGAUAACGUAGGGAAACUUACGCUAAUACCGCAUACGACCUACGGGUGAAAGCAGGGGAUCUUCGGACCUUGCGCGAUUGAAUGAGCCGAUGUCGGAUUAGCUAGUUGGCGGGGUAAAGGCCCACCAAGGCGACGAUCCGUAGCUGGUCUGAGAGGAUGAUCAGCCACACUGGAACUGAGACACGGUCCAGACUCCUACGGGAGGCAGCAGUGGGGAAUAUUGGACAAUGGGCGCAAGCCAGAUCCAGCCAUACCGCGUGGGUGAAGAAGGCCUGCGGGUUGUAAAGCCCUUUUGUUGGGAAAGAAAAGCAGCAGGUUAAUACCCCGCUGUUCUGACGGUACCCAAAGAAUAAGCACCGGCUAACUUCG
RNAcentral lists this ribosomal RNA (490 nucleotides) under uncultured bacterium. Its description in RNAcentral is "partial 16S ribosomal RNA". It matches the Rfam family "Bacterial small subunit ribosomal RNA", at positions 29 to 505 of the family's 1533-position model. The record is from RNAcentral.